GGCCUGGUGGUGUAAUGGUAGUAUACCCUACGACAGUAUACGGAGUGGCUCGUUCUGAGGAUGUUCCCUGUUCGACUCAGGGCCAGGCCA
This is a non-coding RNA of Mycena maculata, 90 nucleotides long. NCBI's taxonomy places the organism in Eukaryota, Fungi, Basidiomycota, Agaricomycetes, Agaricales, Mycenaceae. The record is from the annotation of a GenBank genome assembly.